This is a non-coding RNA of Stomoxys calcitrans (stable fly), 61 nucleotides long. The record is from Rfam. Lineage: Eukaryota; Metazoa; Arthropoda; Insecta; Diptera; Muscidae.
CGUAGCGCAGAGAUUAGCAUGUCUGCCUAUGAAGCUGAAAGCCUAGGUUCAAAUCCUGGCG